GGGUUGUGAGGUUAAGCGACUAAGCGUACACGGUGGAUGCCCUGGCAGUCAGAGGCGAUGAAGGGCGUGCUAAUCUGCGAUAAGCGCCGGUAAGGUGAUAUGAACCGUUAUAACCGGCGAUACCCGAAUGGGGAAACCCAGUGUGACUCGUCACACUAUCAUUAACUGAAUCCAUAGGUUAAUGAGGCGAACCGGGGGAACUGAAACAUCUAAGUACCCGAGGAAAAGAAAUCAACCGAGAUUCCCCCAGUAGCGGCGAGCGAACGGGGAGGAGCCCAGAGCCUGAAUCAGCAUGUGUGUUAGUGGAAGCGUCUGGAAAGGCGCGCGAUACAGGGUGACAGCCCCGUACACAAAAGCGCAUGUGCUGUGAGCUCGAUGAGUAGGGCGGGACACGUGGUAUCCUGUCUGAAUAUGGGGGGACCAUCCUCCAAGGCUAAAUACUCCUGACUGACCGAUAGUGAACCAGUACCGUGAGGGAAAGGCGAAAAGAACCCCGGCGAGGGAGUGAAAAAGAACCUGAAACCGUGUACGUACAAGCAGUGGGAGCACAGGUUUACCUGUGUGACUGCGUACCUUUUGUAUAAUGGGUCAGCGACUUAUAUUCUGUAGCAAGGUUAACCGAAUAGGGGAGCCGGAGGGAAACCGAGUCUUAAUUGGGCGUUAAGUUGCAGGGUAUAGACCCGAAACCCGGUGAUCUAGCCAUGGGCAGGUUGAAGGUUGGGUAACACUAACUGGAGGACCGAACCGACUAAUGUUGAAAAAUUAGCGGAUGACCUGUGGCUGGGGGUGAAAGGCCAAUCAAACCGGGAGAUAGCUGGUUCUCCCCGAAAGCUAUUUAGGUAGCGCCUCGUGAAUUCAUCUCCGGGGGUAGAGCACUGUUUCGGCUAGGGGGCAUCCCGGCUUACCAACCCGAUGCAAACUGCGAAUACCGGAGAAUGUUAUCACGGGAGACACACGGCGGGUGCUAACGUCCGUCGUGAAGAGGGAAACAACCCAGACCGCCAGCUAAGGUCCCAAAGUCAUGGUUAAGUGGGAAACGAUGUGGGAAGGCCCAGACAGCCAGGAUGUUGGCUUAGAAGCAGCCAUCAUUUAAAGAAAGCGUAAUAGCUCACUGGUCGAGUCGGCCUGCGCGGAAGAUGUAACGGGCUAAACCAUGCACCGAAGCUGCGGCAGCGACGCUUAUGCGUUGUUGGGUAGGGGAGCGUUCUGUAAGCCUGUGAAGGUGGCCUGUGAGGGUUGCUGGAGGUAUCAGAAGUGCGAAUGCUGACAUAAGUAACGAUAAAGCGGGUGAAAAGCCCGCUCGCCGGAAGACCAAGGGUUCCUGUCCAACGUUAAUCGGGGCAGGGUGAGUCGACCCCUAAGGCGAGGCCGAAAGGCGUAGUCGAUGGGAAACAGGUUAAUAUUCCUGUACUUGGUGUUACUGCGAAGGGGGGACGGAGAAGGCUAUGUUGGCCGGGCGACGGUUGUCCCGGUUUAAGCGUGUAGGUGUGUGUUCCAGGUAAAUCCGGUUCACUUUAACACUGAGGCGUGAUGACGAGGCACUACGGUGCUGAAGCAACAAAUGCCCUGCUUCCAGGAAAAGCCUCUAAGCAUCAGGUAACAUCAAAUCGUACCCCAAACCGACACAGGUGGUCAGGUAGAGAAUACCAAGGCGCUUGAGAGAACUCGGGUGAAGGAACUAGGCAAAAUGGUGCCGUAACUUCGGGAGAAGGCACGCUGACACGUAGGUGAAGUGAUUUACUCAUGGAGCUGAAGUCAGUCGAAGAUACCAGCUGGCUGCAACUGUUUAUUAAAAACACAGCACUGUGCAAACACGAAAGUGGACGUAUACGGUGUGACGCCUGCCCGGUGCCGGAAGGUUAAUUGAUGGGGUCAGCGCAAGCGAAGCUCCUGAUCGAAGCCCCGGUAAACGGCGGCCGUAACUAUAACGGUCCUAAGGUAGCGAAAUUCCUUGUCGGGUAAGUUCCGACCUGCACGAAUGGCGUAAUGAUGGCCAGGCUGUCUCCACCCGAGACUCAGUGAAAUUGAACUCGCUGUGAAGAUGCAGUGUACCCGCGGCAAGACGGAAAGACCCCGUGAACCUUUACUAUAGCUUGACACUGAACAUUGAGCCUUGAUGUGUAGGAUAGGUGGGAGGCUUUGAAGCGUGGACGCCAGUCUGCGUGGAGCCGACCUUGAAAUACCACCCUUUAAUGUUUGAUGUUCUAACGUGGACCCGUAAUCCGGGUUGCGGACAGUGUCUGGUGGGUAGUUUGACUGGGGCGGUCUCCUCCUAAAGAGUAACGGAGGAGCACGAAGGUUGGCUAAUCCUGGUCGGACAUCAGGAGGUUAGUGCAAUGGCAUAAGCCAGCUUGACUGCGAGCGUGACGGCGCGAGCAGGUGCGAAAGCAGGUCAUAGUGAUCCGGUGGUUCUGAAUGGAAGGGCCAUCGCUCAACGGAUAAAAGGUACUCCGGGGAUAACAGGCUGAUACCGCCCAAGAGUUCAUAUCGACGGCGGUGUUUGGCACCUCGAUGUCGGCUCAUCACAUCCUGGGGCUGAAGUAGGUCCCAAGGGUAUGGCUGUUCGCCAUUUAAAGUGGUACGCGAGCUGGGUUUAGAACGUCGUGAGACAGUUCGGUCCCUAUCUGCCGUGGGCGCUGGAGAACUGAGGGGGGCUGCUCCUAGUACGAGAGGACCGGAGUGGACGCAUCACUGGUGUUCGGGUUGUCAUGCCAAUGGCACUGCCCGGUAGCUAAAUGCGGAAGAGAUAAGUGCUGAAAGCAUCUAAGCACGAAACUUGCCCCGAGAUGAGUUCUCCCUGAGACUUUAAGUCUCCUGAAGGAACGUUGAAGACGACGACGUUGAUAGGCCGGUGUGUAAGCGCAGCGAUGCGUUGAGCUAACCGGUACUAAUGAACCGUGAGGCUUAACCUUACAACGCCGAAG
RNAcentral lists this ribosomal RNA (2924 nucleotides) under Salmonella enterica subsp. enterica serovar Hvittingfoss. RNAcentral describes it as "23S ribosomal RNA". It matches the Rfam family "Bacterial large subunit ribosomal RNA". Lineage: Bacteria; Pseudomonadati; Pseudomonadota; Gammaproteobacteria; Enterobacterales; Enterobacteriaceae. The record is from RNAcentral.